This is a long non-coding RNA of Pyrus x bretschneideri (Chinese white pear), 1228 nucleotides long. RefSeq lists it as uncharacterized. The transcript has 6 exons. The record is from RefSeq and is a predicted model, not a curated record. Lineage: Eukaryota; Viridiplantae; Streptophyta; Magnoliopsida; Rosales; Rosaceae.
AGUGGGACAACCCUAUUUUCGACCUAGCCGUUCUCUCUCUCUCUCUCUCUCUCUCUCUCUCUCCCCUCCCUGAGCUCAACUCCUCGCCUCCUCCCUAACCCUAGCUCCCUAACCCUUUCGAUGGGAUCGACGGCUCAGUGUGGGAUUUGGUGAGGGGAAGGCAUGCGGCUGAUAGAGAGUAAGAGAGAUCGUGGGCGAGGGAGAGAGAAAGAUAGGCAUUCGAUGAAGGGAAGGCAUGCGGUUUGUAGAGAGGGCGGAGGGAGGGAGGAGAAGACGAAAAUCAACUGCAACAAGUUCAUGGAUAGGGUCGCAGCAAUGAAGACCCCUCGGCAGUAGAUUCAAGUCAAUCUUGGUUUUCUGGCCGAUUUGGAGUAGGUUUACACUAAAAUUGAGAAAGCACAUAUGAACGCAAAGGCUCGAGGAUGUACGACAACUUGGAAAAGGUAACUCUCGAAGAUGUCAGGUUUGAGAAGGGAAAAGGUACUAUGAAUUGGGACCCGACAAUCCACCAUACGCUGCCAAGUUCUACAAUUGUUGUGGGGCUGCACGACCAGUUUCCAUGUUUCGUAUGAUGACGAUUGAUCCAUUUGUCAUCGGUUUUCUUAAAGGAUAAAUCCAAGCGAUAAUGCCCUUUCUGAUUGUUGAUAAAUGUUUGCUAGAUGCUCUAAAUGCUUGAGGAAAAAUGAGAGUACUAUAGAAGGCUGCUGCAAAAGGCUGCCUUGAUCAUUAGAUGGUGAUGUUUGGGAGAUUGAGAGUAGGAUAGGAUAAUUUGUUCAUCUGCGCUGGCACUGAUUUCUAUCCAUUUUGAGAGGAAAGCAGAUUUGGGUUCCAACUAAUCCUCGAGGGACAGAAAGCCUGGCGCCUGGUAUCAUUGCAUCUGAGUCGGAUUUCUAUCUUCGCCGACUAUGGGGUCUGCCCAGUGAGGACUUACUUGUCAAGCCAAAGUAUCUUGUAACCUUGACCGUAGGUUGUGAUCAGAAAAAUAACGUUGAUGCAGCAGUUAAAUGGGUCAGUUCUCUCAACAGUAGCGAAGUUCACAUGUAAGAUUGGCAUGACAUGUUUAAGCUCUUUGGAAACAGAGUGUUCAAACACUUUUCAAAGUUUGAGUCCCAACAUUUGUUCAAAAUUGUAUAAAAGAUCAAUUAUGCAAAUUUGUAGUAUAUUCUUAUAUCAAAGAUAUUACAAUUUGUUUCCUCACCAAAAAAAAAAGAAAAAUAUUAUAUUCAAA